UGCAGUCGAGCGAGGUCUUCGGGCCUAGCGGCGGACGGGUGAGUAACGCGUGGGAACGUGCCCUUUGCUACGGAAUAGUCCCGGGAAACUGGGUUUAAUACCGUAUGUGCCCUCCAUUUUGGCGAUGGUUGGGGAAAGAUUUAUCGGCAAAGGAUCGGCCCGCGUUGGAUUAGGUAGUUGGUGGGGUAAUGGCCUACCAAGCCGACGAUCCAUAGCUGGUUUGAGAGGAUGAUCAGCCACACUGGGACUGAGACACGGCCCAGACUCCUACGGGAGGCAGCAGUGGGGAAUCUUAGACAAUGGGGGCAACCCUGAUCUAGCCAUGCCGCGUGAGUGAUGAAGGCCCUAGGGUUGUAAAGCUCUUUCAGCUGGGAAGAUAAUGACGGUACCAGCAGAAGAAGCCCCGGCUAACUCCGUGCCAGCAGCCGCGGUAAUACGGAGGGGGCUAGCGUUGUUCGGAAUUACUGGGCGUAAAGCGCACGUAGGCGGACUGGAAAGUUGGGGGUGAAAUCCCGGGGCUCAACCUCGGAACUGCCUUCAAAACUAUCAGUCUGGAGUUCGAGAGAGGUGAGUGGAAUUCCGAGUGUAGAGGUGAAAUUCGUACAUAUUCGGAGGAACACCAG
This 623-nucleotide ribosomal RNA is filed under the name bacterium SCSIO13075. RNAcentral's name for it is "bacterial SSU rRNA". It matches the Rfam family "Bacterial small subunit ribosomal RNA", at positions 56 to 712 of the family's 1533-position model. The record is from RNAcentral.